GGGCGUGAUCAUACCAUCACUAAUGCACCAGAUCCCAUCAGAACUCUGCAGUUAAGCGUAUGCGGGCAAAAAUAGUACUAGGAUGGGUGACUUCCUAGGAAGUUUUUGUGUUGCACCCC
Non-coding RNA from Gossypium arboreum, 119 nucleotides. Lineage: Eukaryota; Viridiplantae; Streptophyta; Magnoliopsida; Malvales; Malvaceae. The record is from Rfam.